Molecule: long non-coding RNA, 229 nt
Organism: Phalaenopsis equestris
Lineage: Eukaryota; Viridiplantae; Streptophyta; Magnoliopsida; Asparagales; Orchidaceae
Exons: 3
Source: RefSeq, a predicted model, not a curated record
CUUCAUCAUCAUCUUCUUCUUCUUCUGCAAAGGCGGAUAAAAAACCCUAAAGGAUUUCAAGAAAUCUUGAAGAUUUGGGAAUUGCUGAGAUUUGAUCGAUGUUAGGCGAGUUUGUAACCAGAGUUCUAGUAUUGGUGCUUGGAUAUGCAUACCCUGGAUUUGAAUGCUUCAAGCUUAUGGAGAGCAGCAGGAUUGAUGUAGAGCAGCUCUUGUUUUGGUGCCAAUACUG